Non-coding RNA from Podarcis lilfordi (Lilford's wall lizard), 72 nucleotides. Lineage: Eukaryota; Metazoa; Chordata; Lepidosauria; Squamata; Lacertidae. The record is from the annotation of a GenBank genome assembly.
GCCAGUGUGGCCUAGUGGUUAGAGUGCUGGACUAGGUCCCAGGAGAGCAGGGUUCAAAUCCCUGCUCAGCCA